GACGAACGCUGGCGGCGUGCCUAAUACAUGCAAGUUGGGCGCUGAAGGUUGGUACUUGUACCAACUGGAUGAGCAGCGAACGGGUGAGUAACGCGUGGGGAAUCUGCCUUUGAGCGGGGGACAACAUUUGGAAACGAAUGCUAAUACCGCAUAAAAACUUUAAACACAAGUUUUAAGUUUGAAAGAUGCAAUUGCAUCACUCAAAGAUGAUCCCGCGUUGUAUUAGCUAGUUGGUGAGGUAAAGGCUCACCAAGGCGAUGAUACAUAGCCGACCUGAGAGGGUGAUCGGCCACAUUGGGACUGAGACACGGCCCAAACUCCUACGGGAGGCAGCAGUAGGGAAUCUUCGGCAAUGGACGAAAGUCUGACCGAGCAACGCCGCGUGAGUGAAGAAGGUUUUCGGAUCGUAAAACUCUGUUGGUAGAGAAGAACGUUGGUGAGAGUGGAAAGCUCAUCAAGUGACGGUAACUACCCAGAAAGGGACGGCGAACUACGU
This 496-nucleotide ribosomal RNA is filed under the name uncultured bacterium. RNAcentral describes it as "partial 16S ribosomal RNA". It matches the Rfam family "Bacterial small subunit ribosomal RNA", at positions 28 to 506 of the family's 1533-position model. The record is from RNAcentral.